Molecule: long non-coding RNA, 253 nt
Organism: Gymnodraco acuticeps
Lineage: Eukaryota; Metazoa; Chordata; Actinopteri; Perciformes; Bathydraconidae
Exons: 2
Source: RefSeq, a predicted model, not a curated record
GCUGGUCGCUACGUUGAUGCUACACACAGGGAUUCCUCCACGAUUCCUAAACAGAUUAACGUUUUGUUAACAAUUGCUGCAAUCAGCGGUCAGGUUUUUUGUUUGGAUAUAUUUUGUUUGCCACCUGAUGACCUUUCAUGGACCUUGAUGGCGAGCUAAGAUUCUAAACCUAUCCUCCUGGGCACCUGAAAAUAAUCAUGUGAAUUUUAAUGAACUUGUUGAUAUCUUGAAUACAACUAUUUUGUAAUGCAUA